AGUGAACGCUGGCGGUAGGCCUAACACAUGCAAGUCGAACGGCAGCACAGGAGAGCUUGCUCUCUCGGUGGCGAGUGGCGGACGGGUGAGGAAUACAUCGGAAUCUGCCCAGUCGUGGGGGAUAACGUAGGGAAACUUACGCUAAUACCGCAUACGACCUUCGGGUGAAAGAGGGGGAUCGCAAGACCUCUCGCGAUUGGAUGAGCCGAUGUCGGAUUAGCUAGUUAGCGGGGUAAUGGCCCACCAAGGCGACGAUCCGUAGCUGGUCUGAGAGGAUGAUCAGCCACACUGGAACUGAGACACGGUCCAGACUCCUACGGGAGGCAGCAGUGGGGAAUAUUGGACAAUGGGCGCAAGCCUGAUCCAGCCAUACCGCGUGGGUGAAGAAGGCCUUCGGGUUGUAAAGCCCGUUUGUUGGGAAAGAAAUCUUUCAGGCUAAGACCCUGGGAGGAUGACGGUACCCAAAGAAUAAGCACCGGCUAACUUCGUG
RNAcentral lists this ribosomal RNA (490 nucleotides) under uncultured bacterium. Its description in RNAcentral is "partial 16S ribosomal RNA". It matches the Rfam family "Bacterial small subunit ribosomal RNA", at positions 29 to 507 of the family's 1533-position model. The record is from RNAcentral.